Molecule: non-coding RNA, 249 nt
Organism: Vicia faba (fava bean)
Lineage: Eukaryota; Viridiplantae; Streptophyta; Magnoliopsida; Fabales; Fabaceae
Source: the annotation of a GenBank genome assembly
AUGCCUUCUUCGUAUAACUUCAUCCCCGUGAACAAACAAGCGAAUCUGCCAUCUACAACUUCUGAUCAGCCUUCGGCACCACGCACUCCUCAUCACUCUGUCUUCAUGUCGAUUUCUUCGAGAAUCUAUGCUCUCUCUACUCAACCUUCGUUUACGCUCCGAGCGUCACCGUCCAAUUUGCUUCGCUAUCAUUCUGUUGCGAUUUCUCCCCUCCGAUUUGAACUCACCUCCAUCCGUUUGUUUUCAUGA